Molecule: ribosomal RNA, 252 nt
Filed under: uncultured bacterium
Lineage: Bacteria
Description: partial 16S ribosomal RNA
Rfam family: Bacterial small subunit ribosomal RNA
Source: RNAcentral
GAUCCUGGCUCAGAUUGAACGCUGGCGGCAGGCCUAACACAUGCAAGUCGAACGGUAACAGGAAGAAGCUUGCUUCUUUGCUGACGAGUGGCGGACGGGUGAGUAAUGUCUGGGAAACUGCCUGAUGGAGGGGGAUAACUACUGGAAACGGUAGCUAAUACCGCAUAACGUCGCAAGACCAAAGAGGGGGGACCUUCGGGCCUCUUGCCAUCGGAUGUGCCCAGAUGGGAUUAGCUAGUAGGUGGGUAACGG